RNAcentral lists this ribosomal RNA (778 nucleotides) under uncultured Actinomycetes bacterium. RNAcentral describes it as "bacterial SSU rRNA". It matches the Rfam family "Bacterial small subunit ribosomal RNA", at positions 575 to 1352 of the family's 1533-position model. Lineage: Bacteria; Bacillati; Actinomycetota; Actinomycetes. The record is from RNAcentral.
GUGGUUUGUCGCGUCGUCUGUGAAAUCCCGGGGCUUAACUUCGGGCGUGCAGGCGAUACGGGCAUAACUUGAGUGCUGUAGGGGAGACUGGAAUUCCUGGUGUAGCGGUGAAAUGCGCAGAUAUCAGGAGGAACACCGAUGGCGAAGGCAGGUCUCUGGGCAGUAACUGACGCUGAGGAGCGAAAGCAUGGGUAGCGAACAGGAUUAGAUACCCUGGUAGUCCAUGCCGUAAACGGUGGGCGCUAGGUGUAGGGGGCUUCCACGUCUUCUGUGCCGUAGCUAACGCAUUAAGCGCCCCGCCUGGGGAGUACGGCCGCAAGGCUAAAACUCAAAGGAAUUGACGGGGGCCCGCACAAGCGGCGGAGCAUGUGGAUUAAUUCGAUGCAACGCGAAGAACCUUACCUGGGCUUGACAUGUACCGGAUCGGGCUAGAGAUAGUCUUCCCCUUGUGGUCGGUAUACAGGUGGUGCAUGGUUGUCGUCAGCUCGUGUCGUGAGAUGUUGGGUUAAGUCCCGCAACGAGCGCAACCCUUGUCUUAUGUUGCCAGCACGUUAUGGUGGGAACUCAUGAGAGACUGCCGGGGUUAACUCGGAGGAAGGUGGGGAUGACGUCAAAUCAUCAUGCCCCUUAUGUCCAGGGCUUCACACAUGCUACAAUGGUCGAUACAAUGGGCAGCGACAUCGUGAGGUGAAGCGAAUCCCUGAAAGUCGGCCUUAGUUCGGAUUGGGGUCUGCAACUCGACCCCAUGAAGUCGGAGUCGCUAGUAAUCGCAGAUCAG